AUGGGGAGGAACUCAGUUCUUGGUGAAGCUGCUGAUCUGGUGAUCCAGGGGAUUAUCAAGCUGGCUUUCAGUGCAGUCAACGUUAAUCUUCUUGCUCUGCUCCGACCCCUGCUUCUGGAGUUGCAGAUCAAAUCAUUACGCUGUAUCCUCUCUCAGAGUUCUUGGAGCCAAAAUUUUGCAGCAUAUGGUUGGAGAGCUCGGUGCAGAGAGCACCAUGAGAUUCUCGCCAUUGCGCCGCUGCAUCUUCUGGUCGAAGGGCGACCACUCGGAGUUCCGGCGACGGCCUCCGGCUCUUGUAAUUCCUCCUGGCCGCCGAGCCAUAUGGGAGGCAGUUUAUCUAGUUCUUCGGCUUCGUAUUCACACGUUCUACCUCCGGUUCACUGGUGGUGCUAUAACCAUUCCUCCACCCCAAGUGGUUUCGUCCCCGGCGGUGGUGGAAUCGUGCCAGGAUCGAAGACGGCGAAGAGGACUCGAUUGCUUUUCAUUUUUGUUGUCUGGGGUCCAAUCUGCCAAAUAUCCAGCCUGGGUUGUAAUUUUAUCUUUUUGUUGGGUCUUUAUGUAAUAUGUUGCAUGCUUAUCUAA
RNAcentral lists this ribosomal RNA (582 nucleotides) under Triticum aestivum (bread wheat). RNAcentral's name for it is "partial small subunit ribosomal RNA". Lineage: Eukaryota; Viridiplantae; Streptophyta; Magnoliopsida; Poales; Poaceae. The record is from RNAcentral.